RNAcentral lists this long non-coding RNA (442 nucleotides) under Mytilus galloprovincialis (Mediterranean mussel). The record is from RNAcentral. Lineage: Eukaryota; Metazoa; Mollusca; Bivalvia; Mytilida; Mytilidae.
UAAAGGGAAAACGGUACUAUUUAUUUUGCCAUAGGCGACAAUACUAACAUUUUCUAAUUUUACCACUUUUUAUAACAAAAACCUGGAUAAAACAGUUAUGUGUUGUGUUAGUACUUUAUUACUCUAUUUUAAAAAUUGAAGCCAAAUAGUAUCAUGACCAAUUUCCAACGGAGCUUGUUUAUGUUAUCCAUGCCCACCGUCAUUUUGCAGCAAAUUUAUAAAAUUUUGAAAGCCUUUUCGAAUAAUUCUCUAGAAAAUAUUUCAAUAGGUUUUAAAAUUUAUAUUGUAAAUAUAAACACUGCAGUUAUUCAUAGAUAAAUAAAAAAAAUAUAUUGUACCCUUACAUCCAAUCACGGCGCUCCUAAGUUGACUUCCUUCACCUGUCUUGGGUACACACAAGGCCAACCUAAUGCUAGGAAAAUGUAAUACUACCGUUUUCCCU